AUACGUAGGGGGCGAGCGUUGUCCGGAAUGACUGGGCGUAAAGGGCGUGUAGGCGGCCGAUUAAGUCUGGAGUGAAAGUCCUGCUUUCAAGGUGGGAAUUGCUUUGGAGACUGGUUGGCUUGAGUGCGGAAGAGGUAAGUGGAAUUCCCAGUGUAGCGGUGAAAUGCGUAGAGAUUGGGAGGAACACCAGUGGCGAAGGCGACUUACUGGGCCGUAACUGACGCUGAGGCGCGAAAGCGUGGGGAGCGAACAGGAUUAGAUACCCUGGUAGUCCACGCGGUAAACGAUGAAUGCUAGGUGUUGCGGGUAUCGACCCCUGCAGUGCCGGAGUCAACACAAUAAGCAUUCCGCCUGGGGAGUACGGCCGCAAGGUUGAAACUCAAAGGAAUUGACGGGG
This 397-nucleotide ribosomal RNA is filed under the name uncultured bacterium. Its description in RNAcentral is "partial 16S ribosomal RNA". It matches the Rfam family "Bacterial small subunit ribosomal RNA", at positions 523 to 918 of the family's 1533-position model. The record is from RNAcentral.